RNAcentral lists this ribosomal RNA (449 nucleotides) under uncultured organism. Its description in RNAcentral is "partial 16S ribosomal RNA". It matches the Rfam family "Bacterial small subunit ribosomal RNA", at positions 331 to 797 of the family's 1533-position model. The record is from RNAcentral.
GUACACUCCUACGGGAGGCAGCAGUGGGGAAUAUUGGACAAUGGGCGCAAGCCUGAUCCAGCCAUGCCGCGUGAGUGAUGAAGGCCCUAGGGUUGUAAAGCUCUUUUGUGCGGGAAGAUAAUGACGGUACCGCAAGAAUAAGCCCCGGCUAACUUCGUGCCAGCAGCCGCGGUAAUACGAAGGGGGCUAGCGUUGCUCGGAAUCACUGGGCGUAAAGGGUGCGUAGGCGGGUCUUUAAGUCAGGGGUGAAAUCCUGGAGCUCAACUCCAGAACUGCCUUUGAUACUGAAGAUCUUGAGUUCGGGAGAGGUGAGUGGAACUGCGAGUGUAGAGGUGAAAUUCGUAGAUAUUCGCAAGAACACCAGUGGCGAAGGCGGCUCACUGGCCCGAUACUGACGCUGAGGCACGAAAGCGUGGGGAGCAAACAGGAUUAGAAACCCCUGUAGUCCC